AGUGAACGCUGGCGGCGUGCCUAAUACAUGCAAGUCGAACGGAGUUUAAGUAGCUUGCUAUUUAAUCUUAGUGGCGCACGGGUGAGUAAUAUAUAGCUAACUUGCCCAUUACUAAGGGACAACAGUUGGAAACGACUGCUAAUACCUUAUACUCCGUAUCUAUAUAAGUAGAUACGGGAAAGUUUUUCGGUAAUGGAUAGGGCUAUAUCGUAUCAGCUAGUUGGUAAGGUAAUGGCUUACCAAGGCUAUGACGCGUAACUGGUCUGAGAGGAUGAUCAGUCACACUGGAACUGAGACACGGUCCAGACUCCUACGGGAGGCAGCAGUAGGGAAUAUUGCUCAAUGGGGGAAACCCUGAAGCAGCAACGCCGCGUGGAGGAUGACACUUUUCGGAGCGUAAACUCCUUUUCUUGGGAAAGAAUUAUGACGGUACCCAAGGAAUAAGCACCGGCUAACUCCGUG
This 462-nucleotide ribosomal RNA is filed under the name uncultured bacterium. RNAcentral describes it as "partial 16S ribosomal RNA". It matches the Rfam family "Bacterial small subunit ribosomal RNA", at positions 29 to 507 of the family's 1533-position model. The record is from RNAcentral.